RNAcentral lists this ribosomal RNA (1160 nucleotides) under Vibrio sp. 2-2(2). RNAcentral describes it as "partial 23S ribosomal RNA". It matches the Rfam family "Bacterial large subunit ribosomal RNA", at positions 1 to 1209 of the family's 2925-position model. RNAcentral also lists the same sequence under 1 other name. Lineage: Bacteria; Pseudomonadati; Pseudomonadota; Gammaproteobacteria; Vibrionales; Vibrionaceae. The record is from RNAcentral.
GUUGUAUGGUUAAGUGACUAAGCGUACACGGUGGAUGCCUUGGCAGUCAGAGGCGAUGAAGGACGUAUUAACUUGCGAUAAGCCCAGAUUAGGUAGUAAAAACCAUUUGAGUCUGGGAUUUCCGAAUGGGGAAACCCAAUACCAUAAGGUAUUACUGUUGAGUGAAUACAUAGCUCAACAGGGCGAACCGGGGGAACUGAAACAUCUAAGUACCCCGAGGAAAAGAAAUCAACCGAGAUUCCGAAAGUAGCGGCGAGCGAAAUUGGACUAGCCCUUAAGCUUUACACGCGUUAGACGAACAGCCUGGAAAGGCCGACGAUACAGGGUGAUAGUCCCGUAGUUGACGACGUGUGUUCAGUGAAAUCGAGUAGGGCGGGACACGUGAUAUCCUGUCUGAAUAUGGGGGGACCAUCCUCCAAGGCUAAAUACUACUGACUGACCGAUAGUGAACCAGUACCGUGAGGGAAAGGCGAAAAGAACCCCUGUGAGGGGAGUGAAAUAGAACCUGAAACCGUGUACGUACAAGCAGUAGGAGCAGGCUUGUCCUGUGACUGCGUACCUUUUGUAUAAUGGGUCAGCGACUUAUAUUCAGUGGCAAGGUUAACCAUCUAGGGGAGCCGUAGGGAAACCGAGUCUUAACUGGGCGUUCAGUCUCUGGAUAUAGACCCGAAACCAGGUGAUCUAGCCAUGGGCAGGUUGAAGGUUGAGUAACAUCAACUGGAGGACCGAACCGACUAAUGUUGAAAAAUUAGCGGAUGACUUGUGGCUAGGGGUGAAAGGCCAAUCAAACCUGGAGAUAGCUGGUUCUCCCCGAAAGCUAUUUAGGUAGCGCCUCGGACGAAUACUACUGGGGGUAGAGCACUGUUAAGGCUAGGGGGUCAUCCCGACUUACCAACCCUUUGCAAACUCCGAAUACCAGUAAGUACUAUCCGGGAGACACACGGCGGGUGCUAACGUCCGUCGUGGAGAGGGAAACAACCCAGACCGCCAGCUAAGGUCCCAAAUUACUACUAAGUGGGAAACGAUGUGGGAAGGCUCAGACAGCCAGGAUGUUGGCUUAGAAGCAGCCAUCAUUUAAAGAAAGCGUAAUAGCUCACUGGUCGAGUCGGCCUGCGCGGAAGAUGUAACGGGGCUAAGUAGUAAACCGAAGCUGCGGCAAU